This is an RNA transcript of Bubalus bubalis (water buffalo), 3987 nucleotides long. It is a transcript of the gene named integumentary mucin C.1-like, with no coding region annotated. The transcript is spliced from 7 exons. The record is from RefSeq and is a predicted model, not a curated record. NCBI's taxonomy places the organism in Eukaryota, Metazoa, Chordata, Mammalia, Artiodactyla, Bovidae.
ACUUACUAUGUACAGGACACUGUGGUAGUAUUAAAUUAGUAGCAGAGAACAACAUAAAUUCCAGCUUUUUGCUCAUGGAGCUUACAGUGUACUAGGAGAAACAGACAUUACAUAAUAACUUGUCACUUUCAAAGAUUACUCUAGCCACUCUGUGAAGAAUAAGUUGGAUAGGCCAAGACUAGAAUUAAGAAACCCAAUUUUCAUGAACAUUUAAAGGUCCAAGUUGUGGACCAGAUGAGGCAGCUAAAACACAGAGAAAUGGAUGGUUGCCAGCUAUAUCUGUGGUGUUUCCCUCUUCCUCCAUUUCCACUUGGUACCGGACAUAUCUUCUAUUGGUUACAGCCCCUACAAUCACUCACACAACAACCACCCACUGCCCAACCGCCACUACCACCAGUGCCGAGAUGAUGCCCACAGCUGUGUUUCCAACAACAGACAUGACUACACCUGACCUCACAACCACAAAACCACUUCAGAUGGGAGCUGCCCUCGCAGCCAUGGCCUCCACAUGCUUUCUGACAAGCUCCCUUCCUGAGGAAGACAUGACAGUGCUGACCCUUGAGCCUUCCACCGAAGGGCCCAUUCUCCCCAAUCAGAAAGUGUCCUCCCCAGGACCUCUCAGAGAAGCACAGAGGCGAUUUCAGGAGACACUGCCUUGCUCACAUCCAAGCUCCAACUCCAACAACAACAACCACUACUCCAACAACUCCCAGCACUACCACUACUCAAAGAACAGGACCCACCACUACUACUCAAAGAAAAGCGACCAUGACUACUACACCUCCAAGAGAAAUAACGAGGCCAGUACUCCAACAAUGACAGAAACUAAUCAGACAGAAACUACUGAUUCAACAACCACCAUCACCAGUACUCCAGUGACAGCCACCACUAUUCCAAAAAUGACCACCACUACUACUCCAGUAACAACUGCCACCACUACUUCAACAAUCACGAGGUCCACCACUGUUCCAACGACAACAAAGGCUUCUACCUCUGCUCUUCUGAUGGCAACUCCCACAGAGGACUUCCAGCCAGUACCUUCAUCUUCUCCAACGCAGGCUGCAGAAACCAAGCCUACCACCCCAUAUGAAACAAAUAAAACUUGUUCACCAUCAUACUCUUGCUCAACAGAUGGAAUGACACUGUGACAGAGUCUCCAGAUCCCCUUUGGCGUAGCUAUCAAGUUGGGCUGGUACAAGGUCCAUGGAUGAGCACCAACAAGGGAGUCUCCAUUGGAAUCCCUGUUGCUGUCUUGGUAGUAUUGCUCAUAUUUGUGGUAUUCUGGAUUAACAAAAGUAAGUCACCUCAGGACUGUGCCCACAGGAGUAUUCUUGAGCCAAACGACCUGUAGCCCUAUAUUCCAUAUGAUUUUGGUUUCACAUAACUUCCUUGGUUCUUACCUUGUUCUUUUUUAUUUUUAUUUAUCUUAAAAUUAUCUUCCCAAUGAAGAGAAACAUGAUACUUAAUUUCUCCAUGGGAGAAAUUAAAUAUGGAGAAUUAAGCAUUGGUUAGGUAGAGUUGGCAUUUGGAUAUCAACAAACCAGUGUAAUAUACAAGAUUUGUUCACUCCUCCUUUUCCCCUUCCUUCAAUAACCAAUUUUUGUUCCUAUAGGGGGUGAAAUUGCUGAGAGUUUUACAAUACCCACUUAACAGAGGAACCAAAUGAGCCAUUGGGAGGAUACGUGAUUUCAGGGCUAAGAAGAGAACAAAGGGUUUCACAAGGCAGCCACCCAGGGCCUCCUGGUGUCCUUCCACCAGUGUGUGUGUGUGUGUGUGUGUGUAAAACCUGUCAUCUAUAGGAGAAACACAACCUCCCAUUUUUUUACAGUGAAAUGUGAUUAUAUUAAAGUAAGCUAGGGCAUGUGGGUGAAUGCAUUAACCCUAAUAAUCAUAAGAUACUUUCCACUAAGGGGUUUAUUUGGCUCCUAGAGAUUCAAGAAAAGUUAUCUGGAGUUAUUAGGGAAGACCCCAGAUUGAUUUGUUUCCCCUUCAUUUUAAAAAUAUUCUUUCCUCUUAAUUAAUUUUUUCAGUGUCUGAUAUCUGUACCUAUUUUUCUCAUAUCAAGGUAAUAACAGUAAUAAUAUACUUAUUGGGGAAAAAAAUCUCAUGAACUCUUUAGCUUAUAUGUUUAAUUUUCUCUUCAUUUCUUAUCCAGUUUAGAAUAUCUUUGCCUGGGUAACAAGAUGGAGCUACUAUGUGUGAUUCCCUUGAAGGAGUCUCAUAUUGGAGCUUUGAAACAUGCAUCUCUGAAGCCUAUACAAGCAGAAGAAAAUGCCUACAUUAUUGAUGACUCUCAUGAAGUCGUGGGCCCAGAUUCUAAGGCAUUAUGUAGAAGACAGUGCCAAGAUAUCACUAUGUCAGAAUCCUUCAAGCAGCAGGACAAAUUUUUGGUCAGUUUCUGAUGACAUUCCACGGAGUCAAGAACAUUGGAUAGAGUGAGUCUAGAUCAUCUGUGCACAAUCAAUCUCUGUCACACCAGUCCUAAUUUUUUAUAUUAAAACUGAGUCAAUCAUUCUGCUCAUUGCAGAAAUCUCUCCAAAACAUGAAAGGUACACUUUAGAAUUGUACAUUCUCUUUAGACCCUAUGAAUCCUGUUAUCCAUCAAGAAUUCUCAUUGGGGAGACAGAAAACACACUUUGACCUUGGUUAAUAAAGCUGUGGAGAGGAGCUGACCACAACUUAAAAUCAGCAAAUUUAAUUUGGUGCUUAAAGGACUUAACAUGAAAGCAUUUCAUGAUUUUUUUUUUAAAUUGACUCCAAAUGUAAUAUUUCUUGGGACAUCAAAGGUUUCAAAUCAUGGGAGUGUACAGGUUUCUAUUUACCCACUGGGAAAAUAGACGUGAAUGUGAUUUUGCCAUUAUAGGUUGAUCUGGUUUCUCAGGGCUCUGGAAAUAGAAGGCGUUAAGUGCUUUCCCUGGGACCAGAAUGGUAUUUUAGCAGUUAGAAGAAGGUAGGGUAAUGAGUAAUCCAUGGAGACACCAGGGUAAGAAAAUCAAUUGCCAUGUGAUUUAUACUGUUUCUGCUGCAUUGGUGCUAUAGUUCUAGGUGUUUAUGUAGACAAUUGGUAGGCUCUGAUGGAAUUUUUAGAAUGAGGUAAGACAGAAAUAAAUACAAGGAAAGAAAAGAAAAGAAAAGAGGGAGGGAGUAACAAAAGAGGCUUUCUGUUUUGGAAAAGCCAGUUUGCAAAUAGAAUAGUCUUCUUUGAUCAUGUUACCAGUUUCCACCAAAAGGCUAAAUCAUCCUCAAUAUUGGAAAGAUAAAGGGUCUUUUCCAUAUAUAAUCAAUUCCUGUGUUAUAUCUUUUUCACAACUCAAUUCAAUUUUUGUUUUUUCCAGAAGAGUUAGUCAAAGACAAAAAGUAAAGCUGGUUUUAGUCACUUUGAAGUAUUUUUGCAUGAACAGCUAAGAAGGCUGGAAAUUAAUUUCACUUUGCGUAAACCCUGAAAUAACUCAUUCUUGAGUUUUUUGUUUUUGUUUUUGGUGGGGGAAAGGGUAGUGGUGUUCAGAGCUGCUCACACCAAAGUGGUCCAUGAGGGCUGGAUGGUUGAUUUUGAAGGCAACAUUUUUUAAACUUCUGCAGAGUUGUAGAAAAUUAAUAGGACCUCUGAAUAAAGGUUAUGUGGGCAAUGAAGAGGUGGUGCUAGUGGUAAAGAACUUAUCUGCCAAUGCAGAAGACAUAAGAGAUGUGGGUUCAAUCCCUGGAUUGGGAACAUACUCUGGAAGAAGGCAUGGCAAUCAACUCCAGUAUUCUUGCCUGGAGAAUCCCAUGGACAGAGGAGCCUGGUGGGCUAGAGUCCAUAGGGUUGCGAAGAGUUAGACAUGACUGAAGUAACUUAACAACAUGUAUGCAUGGGCAAUGAAGAUGGCUAAAGAUUGCAUACUGCUACUGCUGCUGCUGCUGCUAAGUCGCUUCAGUCAUGUCUGACUCCGUGCGACCCCAUAGACGGCAGCCCACCAGGCUCCCCUGUCCCUGGGAUUCUCCAGGCAA